This 458-nucleotide ribosomal RNA is filed under the name uncultured bacterium. RNAcentral's name for it is "bacterial SSU rRNA". It matches the Rfam family "Bacterial small subunit ribosomal RNA", at positions 15 to 518 of the family's 1533-position model. The record is from RNAcentral.
GAUCAUGGCUCAGAACGAACGCUGGCGGCAGGCCUAACACAUGCAAGUCGAACGCUGUAGCAAUACAGAGUGGCAGACGGGUGAGUAACGCGUGGGAACAUGCCCUUCGGUUCGGAAUAACUCAGGGAAACUUGAGCUAAUACCGGAUACGCCCUUAGGGGGAAAGAUUUAUUGCCGAAGGAUUGGCCCGCGUCCGAUUAGCUAGUUGGUGUGGUAAUGGCGCACCAAGGCGACGAUCGGUAGCUGGUCUGAGAGGAUGAUCAGCCACACUGGGACUGAGACACGGCCCAGACUCCUACGGGAGGCAGCAGUGGGGAAUAUUGGACAAUGGGCGCAAGCCUGAUCCAGCCCAUGCCGCGUGAGUGAUGAAGGCCCUAGGGUUGUAAAGCUCUUUCGCCAGGGACGAUAAUGACGGUACCUGGAUAAGAAGCCCCGGCUAACUUCGUGCCAGCAGCUGC